UACGUAGGGUGCGAGCGUUGUCCGGAAUUAUUGGGCGUAAAGAGCUCGUAGGCGGUCUGUCGCGUCGAUCGUGAAAACUUGGGGCUUAACCCUGAGCUUGCGGUCGAUACGGGCAUGACUGGAGUUCGGCAGGGGAGACUGGAAUUCCUGGUGUAGCGGUGAAAUGCGUAGAUAUCGUAAGGAAGACCAGUGGCGAAGGCGGGUCUCUGGACAGUUCCUGACGCUGAGGCACGAAGGUCAGGGGAGCAAACGGG
RNAcentral lists this ribosomal RNA (254 nucleotides) under uncultured bacterium. RNAcentral describes it as "partial 16S ribosomal RNA". It matches the Rfam family "Bacterial small subunit ribosomal RNA", at positions 524 to 776 of the family's 1533-position model. The record is from RNAcentral.